GGCGGCGUGCUUAACACAUGCAAGUCGAGCGGAAAGGCCCUUCGGGGUACUCGAGCGGCGAACGGGUGAGUAACACGUGAGCAACCUGCCCUAGGCUUUGGGAUAACCCCGGGAAACCGGGGCUAAUACCGAAUAGGACCACCGGCCGCAUGGCUGGUGGUGGAAAGUUUUUCGGCCUGGGAUGGGCUCGCGGCCUAUCAGCUUGUUGGUGGGGUGAUGGCCUACCAAGGCGACGACGGGUAGCCGGCCUGAGAGGGCGACCGGCCACACUGGGACUGAGACACGGCCCAGACUCCUACGGGAGGCAGCAGUGGGGAAUAUUGCACAAUGGGCGGAAGCCUGAUGCAGCGACGCCGCGUGAGGGAUGACGGCCUUCGGGUUGUAAACCUCUUUCAGCAGGGACGAAGCGUAAGUGACGGUACCUGCAGAAGAAGCGCCGGCCAACUACGUGCCAGCAGCCGCGGUAAGACGUAGGGCGCGAGCGUUGUCCGGAUUUAUUGGGCGUAAAGAGCUCGUAGGCGGCUUGUCGCGUCGACUGUGAAAACCCGCAGCUCAACUGCGGGCCUGCAGUCGAUACGGGCAGGCUAGAGUUCGGUAGGGGAGACUGGAAUUCCUGGUGUAGCGGUGAAAUGCGCAGAUAUCAGGAGGAACACCGGUGGCGAAGGCGGGUCUCUGGGCCGAUACUGACGCUGAGGAGCGAAAGCGUGGGGAGCGAACAGGAUUAGAUACCCUGGUAGUCCACGCUGUAAACGUUGGGCGCUAGGUGUGGGGGGCCUCUCCGGUUCUCUGUGCCGCAGCUAACGCAUUAAGCGCCCCGCCUGGGGAGUACGGCCGC
RNAcentral lists this ribosomal RNA (835 nucleotides) under Micromonospora sp. IM-7705. RNAcentral's name for it is "bacterial SSU rRNA". It matches the Rfam family "Bacterial small subunit ribosomal RNA", at positions 38 to 889 of the family's 1533-position model. The record is from RNAcentral. Lineage: Bacteria; Bacillati; Actinomycetota; Actinomycetes; Micromonosporales; Micromonosporaceae.